This 676-nucleotide ribosomal RNA is filed under the name Triticum aestivum (bread wheat). RNAcentral's name for it is "partial small subunit ribosomal RNA". The record is from RNAcentral. Lineage: Eukaryota; Viridiplantae; Streptophyta; Magnoliopsida; Poales; Poaceae.
CACAGCCCCAAUGCCAGCCUCUUCUCGCAAAAAAUAAAUAAAGAAUGCCAGCUCUUCCAUUGCUCUCUCCUCCUCCUCGAUGGUGAACAGCGGGGGCACGCUUCUGCUCACUUUCUCCUCGCACCGUCUCCCCGAUCCGCCUGGGAGCCACCUGCACACAGCCGACUCGCUCUCCUUUGCCUCAGCUCGCCGUCCUCCUGCCGUCGCUCAGUGGCGAGACCACCACGACGCCGCUCGCUCUCCUCCCGUCGACCUCCUCCUCUCCUAGAUCUCUGCAGAGUGCCUCCUCCUGGACGACCUCGCGUGUGCGGUGCCCGCCGCUUCACAUAUCAGCGCAGCCACCUUGCUGCCGUCCGGGAGAGCCUCCCGACAGCAGUCGCUGGCCUCCCCAUUCUCCCCCGCGCCUGGCUUCCCUCCGCCUCGCCCUGCUUCCGUCACGCCGCCUCCGCGCCAGCAAGUCCCGACACCGGCGAGCCACUGCCCUUUGGGUGAAGCGGUGCUCCCGCGUAUGCACCUGUGGCGGGCCGGCUGGUUGAUUAGGCGCGCACUGCGGCCUCGGCUUCAAUUUUUGACUGGUUAGUCCUCCUUUCCGCUCAGCCCUCUUGUGGCAUACGAGUAGAAUUCACUUUGAUUAAUUAAUUACAUAUUAGAUCUGGUUUAGCGUUUUAGAACCGCU